UCCCUCGUGGCUCAGCUGGUAAAGAAUCUGCCUGCAAUGCAGGAGACCUGGGUUCGAUCCCUAGGUGGGAA
This 71-nucleotide transfer RNA is filed under the name Bos taurus (domestic cattle). It matches the Rfam family "tRNA". From Rfam's summary of the family: Transfer RNA (tRNA) molecules are approximately 80 nucleotides in length. Their secondary structure includes four short double-helical elements and three loops (D, anti-codon, and T loops). Lineage: Eukaryota; Metazoa; Chordata; Mammalia; Artiodactyla; Bovidae. The record is from Rfam by way of RNAcentral. RNAcentral also lists the same sequence under 1 other name.